UACGGAGGGAGCUAGCGUUGUUCGGAAUUACUGGGCGUAAAGCGCGCGUAGGCGGCUUUGUAAGUUAGAGGUGAAAGCCCGGGGCUCAACCCCGGAACUGCCUUUAAAACUGCAUCGCUUGAAUCCGGGAGAGGUGAGUGGAAUUCCGAGUGUAGAGGUGAAAUUCGUAGAUAUUCGGAAGAACACCAGUGGCGAAGGCGGCUCGCUGGACCGGUAUUGACGCUGAGGUGCGAAAGCGUGGGGAGCAAACAGG
RNAcentral lists this ribosomal RNA (253 nucleotides) under uncultured bacterium. RNAcentral's name for it is "partial 16S ribosomal RNA". It matches the Rfam family "Bacterial small subunit ribosomal RNA", at positions 524 to 776 of the family's 1533-position model. The record is from RNAcentral.